UGAUGCAGCAACGCCGCGUGAGGGACGACGGCCUUCGGGUUGUAAACCUCUUUUAGUAGGGAAGAAGCGAAAGUGACGGUACCUGCAGAAAAAGCACCGGCUAACUACGUGCCAGCAGCCGCGGUAAUACGUAGGGUGCGAGCGUUGUCCGGAAUUAUUGGGCGUAAAGAGCUCGUAGGCGGUCUGUCGCGUCUGCUGUGAAAUCCCGAGGCUCAACCUCGGGCCUGCAGUGGGUACGGGCAGACUAGAGUGCGGUAGGGGAGAUUGGAAUUCCUGGUGUAGCGGUGGAAUGCGCAGAUAUCAGGAGGAACACCGAUGGCGAAGGCAGAUCUCUGGGCCGUAACUGACGCUGAGGAGCGAAAGCGUGGGGAGCGAACAGGAUUAGAUACCCUGGUAGUCCACGCCGUAAACGUUGGGCGCUAGAUGUGGGGACCAUUCCACGGUUUCCGUGUCGCAGCUAACGCAUUAAGCGCCCCGCCUGGGGAGUACGGCCGCAAGGCUAAAACUCAAAGGAAUUGACGGGGGCCCGCACAAGCGGCGGAGCAUGCGGAUUAAUUCGAUGCAACGCGAAGAACCUUACCAAGGCUUGACAUAUACGAGAACGGGCUAGAAAUAGUCAACUCUUUGGACACUCGUAAACAGGUGGUGCAUGGUUGUCGUCAGCUCGUGUCGUGAGAUGUUGGGUUAAGUCCCGCAACGAGCGCAACCCUCGUUCUAUGUUGCCAGCGCGUAAUGGCGGGAACUCAUAGGAGACUGCCGGGGUCAACUCGGAGGAAGGUGGGGAUGACGUCAAAUCAUCAUGCCCCUUAUGUCUUGGGCUUCACGCAUGCUACAAUGGCCGGUACAAAGGGCUGCAAUACCGUAAGGUGGAGCGAAUCCCAAAAAGCCGGUCUCAGUUCGGAUUGAGGUCUGCAACUCGACCUCAUGAAGUCGGAGUCGCUAGUAAUCGCAGAUCAGCAACGCUGCGGUGAAUACGUUCCCGGGCCUUGUACACACCGCCCGUCAAGUCAUGAAAGUCGGUAACACCCGAAGCCGGUGGCCUAACCCUUGUGGAAGGA
This 1058-nucleotide ribosomal RNA is filed under the name Leifsonia sp. RNAcentral's name for it is "bacterial SSU rRNA". It matches the Rfam family "Bacterial small subunit ribosomal RNA", at positions 384 to 1451 of the family's 1533-position model. The record is from RNAcentral. Lineage: Bacteria; Bacillati; Actinomycetota; Actinomycetes; Micrococcales; Microbacteriaceae.